This 253-nucleotide ribosomal RNA is filed under the name uncultured bacterium. RNAcentral's name for it is "partial 16S ribosomal RNA". It matches the Rfam family "Bacterial small subunit ribosomal RNA", at positions 524 to 776 of the family's 1533-position model. The record is from RNAcentral.
UACGUAGGGUCCGAGCGUUGUCCGGAAUUAUUGGGCGUAAAGGGCUCGUAGGCGGUUUGUCGCGUCGGGAGUGAAAACACCAGGCUUAACUUGGUGCUUGCUUUCGAUACGGGCAGACUUGAGGCAUGCAGGGGAGAACGGAAUUCCUGGUGUAGCGGUGAAAUGCGUAGAUAUCUGGAGGAACACCGGUGGCGAAGGCGGCAUCCUGGACCGGCAUUGACGCUGAGGCGCGAAAGCCAGGGGAGCAAACGGG